CAGUAGCCGCGGUAAUACGUAGGUGGCAAGCGUUGUCCGGAAUUAUUGGGCGUAAAGGGCUCGCAGGCGGUUUCUUAAGUCUGAUGUGAGAGCCCCCGGCUCAACCGGGGAGGGUCAUUGGAAACUGGGAAACUUGAGUGCAGAAGAGGAGAGUGGAAUUCCACAUGUAGUGGUGAAAUGCGUAGAGAUGUGGAGGAACACCAGUGGCGAAGGCGACUCUCUGGUCUGUAACUGACGCUGAGGAGCGAAAGCGUGGGGAGCGAACAGGAUUAGAUACCCCCGUAGUCCCUGUCUCUUAUAA
This 301-nucleotide ribosomal RNA is filed under the name uncultured bacterium. RNAcentral describes it as "partial 16S ribosomal RNA". It matches the Rfam family "Bacterial small subunit ribosomal RNA", at positions 509 to 809 of the family's 1533-position model. The record is from RNAcentral.